Molecule: ribosomal RNA, 253 nt
Filed under: uncultured bacterium
Lineage: Bacteria
Description: partial 16S ribosomal RNA
Rfam family: Bacterial small subunit ribosomal RNA
Source: RNAcentral
UACAGAGGGUGCGAGCGUUAAUCGGAAUUACUGGGCGUAAAGCGCACGUAGUCGGCUUUGCAAGUCGGGUGUGAAAUCCCCGGGCUCAACCUGGGAACUGCAUCCGAGACUGCAUUGCUGGAGUAUGGGAGAGGGAAGCGGAAUUUCUGGUGUAGCAGUGAAAUGCGUAGAUAUCAGAAGGAACAUCAGUGGCGAAGGCGGCUUCCUGGACCAAUACUGACGAUCAGGUGCGAAAGCGUGGGGAGCAAACAGG